This 348-nucleotide long non-coding RNA is filed under the name Elaeis guineensis (African oil palm). Its description in RNAcentral is "long non-coding RNA (EGUI_LNC042133)". Lineage: Eukaryota; Viridiplantae; Streptophyta; Magnoliopsida; Arecales; Arecaceae. The record is from RNAcentral.
CCCUCCUCCUCCUCCUCCCCCUCUUCUUUCUCCUUUUUCUUUUCCUUCUUUGCCUCCUCUUUUUCUUCCUGUCCCUCAUUCUUCUCGUCCUUCUUUGUUUCUUCUCUUUCUCCUCCUCCUCCUCCUACUUCCUCUUCUUCUUCUUCUUCUUCCUCUUCUUCCUCAACUUUUUUCUUGGAUUUACCAUCAUUGUCAUCCUCACUGUCAAAUGAGGAUGCAUAUGAUUUAGACUCAGAGUCAGAUGAGUCAAAAUCAUAAAAUAUUACUCCACGAUUAUUCUUUUCCAAAAUCCGAUAAAUUUUUUUGCAAUUUCUCUUUAAUAACUUGAUCUUUGCUUUCAAGGUCAAG